Molecule: transfer RNA, 69 nt
Filed under: Gymnothorax richardsonii (Richardson's moray)
Lineage: Eukaryota; Metazoa; Chordata; Actinopteri; Anguilliformes; Muraenidae
Description: tRNA-Glu
Rfam family: tRNA
About the family: Transfer RNA (tRNA) molecules are approximately 80 nucleotides in length. Their secondary structure includes four short double-helical elements and three loops (D, anti-codon, and T loops).
Source: RNAcentral
GUUUCUAUAGUUGAAUUACAACGAUGGUUUUUCAUAUCAUUAGUCCUGGUUAAAAUCCGGGUGGAAAUU